GAAGCCCCAGUGAACGGCGGCCGUAACUAUAACGGUCCUAAGGUAGCGAAAUUCCUUGUCAGGUAAGUUCUGACCCGCACGAAAGGCGUAACGAUUUGGGCGCUGUCUCAGCUGUAGACUCGGUGAAGUCUUAGUACCUGUGAAGAUGCAGGUUACCCGCGACUAGACGGAAAGACCCCAUGGAGCUUUACUGUAGCUUGAUAUUGGACUUUGAUGCAAGAUGUACAGGAUAGGUAGGAGACUGAGAGACAUGCACGCCAGUGUGUGAGGAGUCAAUGUUGGGAUACUACUCUUCUUGUAUUGGAGUUCUAACCGGAUGCCAUGGAACUGGCAACGGGACAGUGUCAGGUGGGCAGUUUGACUGGGGCGGUCGCCUCCCAAAGAGUAACGGAGGCGCCCAAAGAUACCCUCAGCUUGGAUGGAAAUCAAGCGCAGAGUGCAAAGGCAUAAGGGUGUUUGACUGCGAGACCUACAAGUCGAGCAGGGACGAAAGUCGGGCUUAGUGAUCCGGCGGUGCUGAAUGGAAAGGCCGUCGCUCAACGGAUAAAAGCUACCCUGGGGAUAACAGGCUGAUCUCCCCCAAGAGUUCACAUCGACGGGGAGGUUUGGCACCUCGAUGUCGGCUCAUCGCAUCCUGGAGCUGAAGUCGGUUCCAAGGGUUGGGCUGUUCGCCCAUUAAAGCGGUACGCGAGCUGGGUUCAGAACGUCGUGAGACAGUUCGGUCCCUAUCUGUCGUGGGCGUAGGAAGUUUGAGAAGAUCUGUCCUCAGUACGAGAGGACCGGGAUGGACAUAUCAAUGGUGCACCAGUUGUCACGCCAGUGGCACAGCUGGGUAGCUAAAUAUGGAAGGGAUAAACGCUGAAGGCAUCUAAGUGUGAAACCCACUUCAAGAUGAGACUUCCCAUUACGCAAGUAAGUAAGACCCCUUAAAGACGAUAAGGUUGAUAGGUCAGGAGUGUAAGCAUGGCGACAUGUUCAGCGGACUGAUACUAAUAGGUCGAGGACUUAACCU
RNAcentral lists this ribosomal RNA (1012 nucleotides) under human gut metagenome. RNAcentral's name for it is "bacterial LSU rRNA". It matches the Rfam family "Bacterial large subunit ribosomal RNA", at positions 1914 to 2925 of the family's 2925-position model. The record is from RNAcentral.